RNAcentral lists this transfer RNA (67 nucleotides) under Dysdercus cingulatus. RNAcentral describes it as "tRNA-Phe". RNAcentral also lists the same sequence under 1 other name. The record is from RNAcentral. Lineage: Eukaryota; Metazoa; Arthropoda; Insecta; Hemiptera; Pyrrhocoridae.
ACUUAGGUAGCUUAAAUUUUAAAGUAUAAUAUUGAAGAUAUUAAGAUAAGUGAUAACUUUCUAGGUA